Molecule: ribosomal RNA, 191 nt
Filed under: Bicosoecida sp. CB-2014
Lineage: Eukaryota; Bigyra; Bicosoecida
Description: partial Bacterial large subunit ribosomal RNA
Rfam family: Bacterial large subunit ribosomal RNA
Source: RNAcentral
AGUGAGAAUCUUCAUGGCCGAAUAUCCAAGGUUUCCAGGGUAAAGCUGAUCUGCCCUGGGUAAGUCGGGGCCUAAGGAGAGGCAGAAAUGCGUAUCCGAUGGACAGCAGGUUGAGAUUCCUGCACUAUCUUAAAACAGAACUGUGGGGACAUUUGUGGAGAGCACAGGCGCGGAACGGAAAGCCGCGUGCA